AUAAAGAUGGCAGACUAGUGCAUUAGGUUUAAGCCCUAAAUAUGAAGAUUAUUUUCUUCUCUUUAUA
Molecule: transfer RNA, 67 nt
Filed under: Littorina obtusata
Lineage: Eukaryota; Metazoa; Mollusca; Gastropoda; Littorinimorpha; Littorinidae
Also listed under: 1 other name
Description: tRNA-Leu
Source: RNAcentral